Molecule: ribosomal RNA, 496 nt
Filed under: uncultured bacterium
Lineage: Bacteria
Description: partial 16S ribosomal RNA
Rfam family: Bacterial small subunit ribosomal RNA
Source: RNAcentral
GAUGAACGCUGGCGGCGUGCCUAAUACAUGCAAGUCGAGCGAACAGACGAGGAGCUUGCUCCUCUGACGUUAGCGGCGGACGGGUGAGUAACACGUGGAUAACCUACCUAUAAGACUGGGAUAACUUCGGGAAACCGGAGCUAAUACCGGAUAAUAUAUUGAACCGCAUGGUUCAAUAGUGAAAGACGGUUUUGCUGUCACUUAUAGAUGGAUCCGCGCCGCAUUAGCUAGUUGGUAAGGUAACGGCUUACCAAGGCAACGAUGCGUAGCCGACCUGAGAGGGUGAUCGGCCACACUGGAGCUGAGACACGGUCCAGACUCCUACGGGAGGCAGCAGUAGGGAAUCUUCCGCACUGGGCGAAAGCCUGACGGAGCAACGCCGCGUGAGUGAUGAAGGUCUUCGGAUCGUAAAACUCUGUUAUUAGGGAAGAACAAAUGUGUAAGUAACUAUGCACGUCUUGACGGUACCUAAUCAGAAAGCCACGGCUAACUACGU